Molecule: ribosomal RNA, 476 nt
Filed under: uncultured bacterium
Lineage: Bacteria
Description: partial 16S ribosomal RNA
Rfam family: Bacterial small subunit ribosomal RNA
Source: RNAcentral
UGAACGCUGGCGGCGUGCUUAACACAUGCAAGUCGAGCGAGAAGUUUUGAAAAGAUUCUUCGGAUGAAAUUUAAAAUGGAAAGCGGCGGACGGGUGAGUAACGCGUAGGCAACCUGCCCCAUACAAAGGGAUAGCAUUUGGAAACGAAUAUUAAUACCUUAUGAAACUUAACUAGUGCAUGCUAGGUAGGUCAAAGAUUUAUCGGUAUGGGAUGGGCCUGCGUCUGAUUAGCUAGUUGGUGAGGUAACGGCUCACCAAGGCGACGAUCAGUAGCCGACCUGAGAGGGUGAACGGCCACAUUGGAACUGAGACACGGUCCAAACUCCUACGGGAGGCAGCAGUGGGGAAUAUUGCACAAUGGGGGAAACCCUGAUGCAGCAACGCCGCGUGAACGAUGAAGGCCUUUGGGUCGUAAAGUUCUGUUCUAGGUGAUGAAAACUGACAGUAACCUAGGAGAAAGCCCCGGCUAACUCCGU